GCUCCGGGAGAGUUAGGGCUCCGAGCCGAGCGCGCGGAGCAGCUGGGGCCGGGGCGCGGAUGCUGGAAGUUCACAUCCCGUCGGUGGGGCCCGAGGCCGAGGGGCCCAGGCAGAGCCCGGAGAAAAGCCACAUGCAUGCCCUCUAGAACUUUGCCAAACACCACAUGCUUGCCAUCUAGCCAGGCUGUCUUGACUGUCGUGAUGAAGAACUGGGAGCCGUUGGUGUCUUUGCCUGCGUUGGCCAUGCUCACCCAGCCAGGCCCGUAGUGCUUCAGUUUGAAGUUCUCAUCGGGGAAGCGCUCACCGUAGAUGCUCUUUCCUGGGAAAAAAGACAGAGCAGGUCAGGGGCGCUGGAUUGCGCCAAACCAAGCAGACAUUCGGGGCCAGGACUGAGGGGGCUUAACCUGUCCUCUGUGCCAGGCUAGGCUGGAGUGGACUACAAGGACAUAAAAGCAGCGUCCUUCCUAUCUUCUGGCCUCAGAGCCAAGCCAUGCUGACUGAGGCCAAGUGGGGCAUCAGGCCAGGCUGAUGUGGUGAACAGCUCACAGAAGGAUUACUUUGAGAAGAUAGUUUUGUGGCUUUUAAAUAAGGCGCAUGUUAUCAGCUCCCCUUAGCUAUGGCCCAGGCCUGCCACGGAGGGACUUUGGUGGAGGGAAGUGCCGUGCAGGAUGCAGGGGAGUCAACAGGGUCGGAACUCUCCAGAAAAGGAGGACUGCUGUGGCUGACCAGCCUGUUUUCCUAUGAGCACAAAAGACACAGGCAUAGCUGCAGAGGAGAAAGCAGCCAGAGAUGUGUGGGGAGGGGCAGAAAAGAGGGGCUGCCCCUUGGAUUCUGGAGAGUCAAAGCCUCUUAACAAGGAAUGAACAGGAAUAAAAGACAGCUGUGAGUGUG
RNAcentral lists this long non-coding RNA (891 nucleotides) under Homo sapiens (human). Its description in RNAcentral is "HSALNT0221423". Lineage: Eukaryota; Metazoa; Chordata; Mammalia; Primates; Hominidae. The record is from RNAcentral.